UACGAGGGGUGCAAGCGUUGUUCGGAAUCACUGGGCGUAAAGGGAGCGUAGGCGGGAUGCCAAGUCAGUUGUUUAAUCCCGGGGCCCAACCCCGGACUUGCAAUUGAAACUGGCAUUCUUGAAUAGGUCAUAGGCGGAUGGAAUUCCUGGUGUAGCGGUGGAAUGCGUAGAUAUCAGGAAGAACACCUGUGGUGAAGACGGUUCGCUGGGACCUUAUUGACGCUGAUGCUCGAAAGCGUGGGUAG
Molecule: ribosomal RNA, 245 nt
Filed under: uncultured Fibrobacter sp.
Lineage: Bacteria; Pseudomonadati; Fibrobacterota; Fibrobacteria; Fibrobacterales; Fibrobacteraceae
Description: partial 16S ribosomal RNA
Rfam family: Bacterial small subunit ribosomal RNA
Source: RNAcentral